This 322-nucleotide long non-coding RNA is filed under the name Capsella grandiflora. RNAcentral describes it as "long non-coding RNA (CGRA_LNC000192)". Lineage: Eukaryota; Viridiplantae; Streptophyta; Magnoliopsida; Brassicales; Brassicaceae. The record is from RNAcentral.
CAACAACACGAGUGUGGUCUAGCCGCAACGCAAGUACGUUGAGAAGAUCGUUGAUUAGAUCAGGAUGCUCUUGCAAGUAGAAGUGGACAGCCUUGUAAUACAAUUCAACAUUCGCUACCUUCGCAACAAUGUCUUUGAAUUGCAUGUGCUCCCAUGCUUCAGGAGAAUGGUUCAUGACAGUGGUCGCAGCAUUAUCAAACUCAUCAUAUUGAAUGUACAGAUAGGUAAGUUCCUGCCAGUGCUGUUGUUCAUCACAAGCCCGUAUAAGCUUGGGAAUAUUGAGGCGAGUUGAAAAUAACUUGAUGUGUUCCAUAAGUUUCUC